Non-coding RNA from Gossypium hirsutum (cotton), 81 nucleotides. NCBI's taxonomy places the organism in Eukaryota, Viridiplantae, Streptophyta, Magnoliopsida, Malvales, Malvaceae. The record is from Rfam.
GUUGAGAUAGCCGAGUUGGUCUAAGGCGCCAGAUUAAGGUUCCGGUCCGAAAGGGCGUGGGUUCAAAGCCCACUCUCAACA